RNAcentral lists this ribosomal RNA (673 nucleotides) under Kaistella antarctica. RNAcentral describes it as "bacterial SSU rRNA". It matches the Rfam family "Bacterial small subunit ribosomal RNA", at positions 70 to 743 of the family's 1533-position model. The record is from RNAcentral. Lineage: Bacteria; Pseudomonadati; Bacteroidota; Flavobacteriia; Flavobacteriales; Weeksellaceae.
UAUUUGUCUUUCGGGACAGAGAGAGCGGCGUACGGGUGCGUAACACGUGUGCAACCUACCUUUAUCAGGAGGAUAGCCUUUCGAAAGGAAGAUUAAUACUCCAUAAUAUAUUAGAUGGCAUCAUUUAAUAUUGAAAACUCCGGUGGAUAGAGAUGGGCACGCGCAAGAUUAGAUAGUUGGUGAGGUAACGGCUCACCAAGUCAUUGAUCUUUAGGGGUCCUGAGAGGGAGAUCCCCCACACUGGUACUGAGACACGGACCAGACUCCUACGGGAGGCAGCAGUGAGGAAUAUUGGACAAUGGGUGAGAGCCUGAUCCAGCCAUCCCGCGUGAAGGAUGACGGUCCUACGGAUUGUAAACUUCUUUUGUAUAGGGAUAAACCCAGAUACGUGUAUCUGGCUGAAGGUACUAUACGAAUAAGCACCGGCUAACUCCGUGCCAGCAGCCGCGGUAAUACGGAGGGUGCAAGCGUUAUCCGGAUUUAUUGGGUUUAAAGGGUCCGCAGGCGGGCCGAUAAGUCAGUGGUGAAAUCUCAUAGCUUAACUAUGAAACUGCCAUUGAUACUGUCGGUCUUGAGUAAAUUAGAGGUAGCUGGAAUAAGUAGUGUAGCGGUGAAAUGCAUAGAUAUUACUUAGAACACCAAUUGCGAAGGCAGGUUACCAUGAUUUAACUGA